RNAcentral lists this microRNA precursor (78 nucleotides) under Aedes aegypti (yellow fever mosquito). RNAcentral describes it as "microRNA aae-mir-11927 precursor". Lineage: Eukaryota; Metazoa; Arthropoda; Insecta; Diptera; Culicidae. The record is from miRBase by way of RNAcentral.
UUCAGUGAUGUCAGAUCUUUUGUCGGAAUAGAAGCAGAUUCCUCCUUCUAUUCAGACAAAAGAUCUGGCUACACUGAA